Molecule: non-coding RNA, 107 nt
Organism: Vibrio harveyi
Lineage: Bacteria; Pseudomonadati; Pseudomonadota; Gammaproteobacteria; Vibrionales; Vibrionaceae
Source: Rfam
UGACCCUUUUAAGCCGAGGGUCACCUAGCCAACUGACGUUGUUAGUGAACCCAAUUGUUCACACGUAUAUACAGCCAAUCACAAACCUUGUGGUUGGCUUUUUUUUC